CUUAGCCCAAGUGGCUAGAGUCCCUCCCUCACAUUUGUGAGGGAAGGGGUUCGAGCCUCCGCAGUCGCAUUGUAGGGGUUUAAUUUAAAUAUUCUUCAUUGGAGCCAUUGAGCUCCAGUGAAGACAUUCUUUCUCACAGGAUGGGAGUUUGACAUCUCUCGAAUAUUUGAGAGGGUUAAAAAUCUGAGCGGUGUCAUAUCAGCAUUAAUAUUAACAAGGCUCAGUAUAAAUAUAUGAUUGUACAUAUCAAUUAUACUCUCAUGUAAUAUGAACUGUAAUUUGAGCAAUAGUCUCAUGUAAUCAAAAAAAAAAAAAAAAAAAAAA
Molecule: long non-coding RNA, 324 nt
Filed under: Citrus sinensis (sweet orange)
Lineage: Eukaryota; Viridiplantae; Streptophyta; Magnoliopsida; Sapindales; Rutaceae
Description: long non-coding RNA (CSIN_LNC002096)
Source: RNAcentral